UGCGCCUUGCCAGCCCGCUCAGAAACUCAAAUGAAUUGACGGGGGCCCGCACAAGCGGAGGAGCAUGUGGUUUAAUUCGAUGAUACGCGAGGAACCUUACCUGGGCUCGAACGUAAGAUGACUGUAGGUGAAAGCUUACAUCUCUUCGGAGCAUUUUACGAGGUGCUGCAUGGUUGUCGUCAGCUCGUGCCGUGAGGUGUCGGGUUAAGUCCCAUAACGAGCGCAACCCCUACCUUUAGUUGCCAUCAGGUUAAGCUGGGGACUCUAAAGGAACUGCCUACGCAAGUAGUGAGGAAGGCGGGGAUGACGUCAAAUCAGCACGGCCCUUACGUCCAGGGCUACACACGUGCUACAAUGGUCGGUACAAAGGGUUGCCAAGCCGCGAGGUGGAGCUAAUCCCAUAAAACCGAUCGUAGUCCGGAUCGCAGUCUGCAACUCGACUGCGUGAAGUCGGAAUCGCUAGUAAUCGUGAAUCAGAAUGUCACGGUGAAUACGUUCCCGGGCCUU
Molecule: ribosomal RNA, 507 nt
Filed under: uncultured Sphingobacteriales bacterium
Lineage: Bacteria; Pseudomonadati; Bacteroidota; Sphingobacteriia; Sphingobacteriales
Description: bacterial SSU rRNA
Rfam family: Bacterial small subunit ribosomal RNA
Source: RNAcentral